This 2288-nucleotide long non-coding RNA is filed under the name Rattus norvegicus (Norway rat). RNAcentral describes it as "long non-coding RNA NONRATT025508". The record is from RNAcentral. Lineage: Eukaryota; Metazoa; Chordata; Mammalia; Rodentia; Muridae.
CACUUUCUUUGGGACUGGACUGAUUUUAAAAGGUGAACACAACUGCACAAUGGCGGCGCCGUGGAGGUGACAGCCCAGCUGUCCAAUAGCAGCGGCUACAGAGCACCCAGGAGUACUUUUUCUUCCUUUUUUUCUUUCUUUCAUCACCCAGCCCAGGGCCUGGUAGAGAUCGACAGUCUUUAAUCCUUCGGUGUUUUUUGUCCGUUACCUGGGUCUUUUGGGCUUUAUCUAUUUUGGCUUCGAUUAGGAAACCCAUCAAUCACGUAGAAAUCCCCGGACUGCUGCCGUAUUUUCACUUUCAACCCAGUGUCCUGCAGGCCAUCUGCUCUGGGCUGGUGAGAGAAGGUCCAUGUGAGGAGCAAAUGUCCCCAGACUGAUGGUGACUGUCAGGAACUGUUGUUUUGAAAACACUGGGGUUUUCUUGCCAGGACAAAGUGGGGCACUGUGUUCUGCGCCCCGCUCCCCUUGCUUCUCCUCAAUGUCCCCCUAUCCUCCCCAGGUUGAGCGGUUCCCGCUUCCAACCGCUCCAGGACUUUUAUGUAAAUUACAGCCAAGUUUGGACACCAGCUCUCCCAGUGACCCCCUUCCUCCACCUGUCCCCGACUUGUGGCCCCCCAAAUUCCGAAGCCACCAAAAGCCACUUGAGGUUCAGAAGACUCCGUGGUGUGUUGUGGGGCAGGGAACAGGAGUCUGAGCCCGGGUUUGAGGGGCCUAUACACUGCCAAUAACCACAUGCCCCUCAACUUGGGGACACCCCCACGUGACUCAGAGGCUUUCCUGGUCAGCCAGUAUCCCCCUUAGCCAGGUUUCCCCUCCCCCGCCCACUUCCUAUUCCCGUAGCUGUGCGUAGACAUGUGCGCACCAUAGACUAUAUAUUUUUGGAGAAUGAACCACAGUGGCCAAACUCCGUCAAGGAGGUGGCUCUGAGCCGGCCAAUCAGCGGGGGACCAAGGACAGACCAGCUGAGGCCGGCUGGACGCCGCCCUGACUGGACACCAAACCAGGACCCCGCCAACACCAUAUACCUCCAGUUUUUGGGGUCUCCACGGUUGCUGCCCCCGCCCUGCCCCUCCCACUUUCAUAGCCUUACUUGGGUGACCAGGUGUCUUUAGCUUCCUGCCAGGGGAGACUCCUGUCCCCCACUGCCCACCCACCCAGAUCUCUCUCUCUCUCUCUCUCUCUCUCUCUCUCUCUCUCACACACACACACACACACACACACACACACACACACACACACACACACACACACACACACGGUCCUCCAAUCACCAGCUGUAAACUGAAGGUCUCAUACCCGAGGUCACCGUGAGUCAGAUGUGGCCACACCGGACCCGGUUGCUGACCCCGCAGGCUCCACACUUUCCUUUUCUACGUAUCACCUACCUAUCAUCUAUCUAUCAUCAUGUCGGUGGUCUUUUUCUGAGUGAGUGCCAACAAGACCACUGAGAAGGGCAUAGAGGGAGGGGAUGUGGGGACUCAUGAUAAUCCGCCUUUGAUUCCUAGUUGGAGGUUUGGGAAGCCUGGUGAGAGAGCCCACCUCUUGUAUAUUACCCAGCCUGCCCACACACCCACCACAAAGCACAGAGUCGUUAAUUUGGACAUCCCACCAAGCAGGGGAGGGGGGUCCUGGGGGGGGGUCCAGAUCCCUUCCGACUGGUCCAAAAGCAAACAAAAGAGAUAAAAGUUUUUUAAGGUCUAAAAAACAUGUAAAAACAAGCAAAAAAAAAAAAAAAACCCUUUUCUUUUCUACCAAAAUGUUUGUUGACUGACCUAAACUAAAGGGGGGUUAAAAAACCAAAAAAAAACCCACCCUGAUUCUGCCCACCUUGUUUCUCGUCUCCGGUUUGAUGAUCCCUUGUUCUGAACGUAACACAGUAAGACUUACUGUAUUACGUAGUGUGCGAACGUGUGUGUCCGGGGUGUCGCUGUGUCCCCCCACCCCCACGCAAGUUGCCCGCUGAGUGCGUGCUGGCGUGCGCUGGCGUGCGCACUGUCUAGUUCAUGUUUACGAGCUGUAAAUACCAUUUUUAUACUCCACACAAGAGACCCUACGUGAUUUGUACAACGGGCUUAGUUUCUGCUACGAUGAAUUUCGUGAAAUUUCAAACUUCAAUUUUGGAGAUGAGCAGAGGGGGAGCCAAGAGUGGAGAGGGAUGUGGGGUUUGAGUCUCGCGCCUCCUAUUCGUGAGCGAGCUUCUCAACAUCAAAUCACUUCUCCUUGGUCUGGAAAAGAAGAGACAAAAACCCUAAAAGUUUAUUUAAUAAAAGUUUUACUUGUUAACAGGG